AUUGAACGCUGGCGGCAGGCCUAACACAUGCAAGUCGAGCGAGCGGCGGACGGGUGAGUAAUGUCUGGGAAACUGCCUGCUGGAGGGGGAUAACUACUGGAAACGGUAGCUAAUACCGCAUCCCAUCAGAUGUGCCCAGAUGGGCUUAGCUAGUAGGUGGGGUAAUGGCUCACCUAGGCGACGAUCCCUAGCUGGUCUGAGAGGAUGACCAGCCAAACGGGAAUGGAGACACGGUCCAGACUCCACGGGGGGGAAGCGGGGGGGAUUAUUGCAAAAGGGGCGAAAGCCUGAUGAAGCCAGGCGGCGGGGGUAAAGAGGGCUUUCGGGUGUUAAAGCACUUUAAGCGGGGAGGCGUUACCCGCAGAAGAAGCAACGGCUAACUCCGUGCCAGCAGCCGCGGUAAUAC
Molecule: ribosomal RNA, 406 nt
Filed under: uncultured bacterium
Lineage: Bacteria
Description: partial 16S ribosomal RNA
Rfam family: Bacterial small subunit ribosomal RNA
Source: RNAcentral